GCCACCGUAGCUCAGAUGGUAGAGCAGCUGACUUGUAAUCAGCAGGUCGGGAGUUCAAAUCUCCCCGGUGGCU
RNAcentral lists this transfer RNA (73 nucleotides) under Methanobacteriota archaeon. Its description in RNAcentral is "Euryarchaeota archaeon tRNA-Thr". It matches the Rfam family "tRNA". Rfam says of the family: Transfer RNA (tRNA) molecules are approximately 80 nucleotides in length. Their secondary structure includes four short double-helical elements and three loops (D, anti-codon, and T loops). Lineage: Archaea; Methanobacteriati; Methanobacteriota. The record is from RNAcentral.